This 253-nucleotide ribosomal RNA is filed under the name uncultured bacterium. RNAcentral describes it as "partial 16S ribosomal RNA". It matches the Rfam family "Bacterial small subunit ribosomal RNA", at positions 524 to 776 of the family's 1533-position model. The record is from RNAcentral.
GACAGAGGGUGCAAACGUUGUUCGGAAUUACUGGGCGUAAAGCGCGUGCAGGCUGCUCGGAAAGUCGGAUGUGAAAGCCCUGGGCUCAACCUAGGAAGUGCAUUCGAAACUUCCGAGCUAGAGUUCUGGAGAGGAAGGCGGAAUUCUCGGUGUAGAGGUGAAAUUCGUAGAUAUCGAGAGGAACACCGGUGGCGAAGGCGGCCUUCUGGACAGUGACUGACGCUGAGACGCGAAAGCGUGGGGAGCAAACAGG